GCCCCUGUAGCUCAGUGGUAGAGCGUCUGCCUCGUAAGCAGAAGGUCGCAGGUCCAAUCCCUGCCGGGGGCA
This 72-nucleotide transfer RNA is filed under the name Candidatus Woesearchaeota archaeon. RNAcentral describes it as "tRNA-Thr". It matches the Rfam family "tRNA". Rfam says of the family: Transfer RNA (tRNA) molecules are approximately 80 nucleotides in length. Their secondary structure includes four short double-helical elements and three loops (D, anti-codon, and T loops). The record is from RNAcentral. Lineage: Archaea; Nanobdellati; Candidatus Woesearchaeota.